This 1871-nucleotide long non-coding RNA is filed under the name Nicotiana benthamiana. RNAcentral describes it as "long non-coding RNA (NBEN_LNC034425)". The record is from RNAcentral. Lineage: Eukaryota; Viridiplantae; Streptophyta; Magnoliopsida; Solanales; Solanaceae.
UUAGUUGGUAAGUUUACCAACCAAUUCAAUAUGGUUGGUAAAAUUUACCAUCGAGCCUUUUAGCAACAGGCCAAUUUCCGUUGGUAAUCGGUUAGUAAAUCAAAAUACCAACCAAUUUGAUCAAUUUAUCAAUAUUUUUUUUUGUUGGUAAUUGAUUUUUUUUUGUAGUGAAAAAAAAUGUUUGGUUGAUCAAAAUAUGAUACGAGUUGCCUAAGGUCCUAUUAAACCCAUGCCAACCUCAAAAGGCAAGCAACUGGCAGAAUCCCAAGCUAUCGUUCACAUGGAGAUAUGUUGAUUGUCUAGUGCCUUUAACAAAACAUAGCAAACUUGUAAAUUGGCCGAAGUGAACAACUAAAUUUCCAACAAAAUAAAAGUGAAACAAACACUACUUAAAACUGAUGAAACCUUGACAGAUGCAUCAAGAUUGCUAACUCUAAAACAUGGAAUGGAAGUAUAUUAUUGGAUGAAGCUAAAUGCUAGUCAACAUGCAUAUCAACAAAAUCAUUUUGAACGUAAAGACAAAAGUGGUAUAUAAGAUGAAAAUACAUUAGUUUUCAAACCCUCUAAUAAGUAUGACUUAAAAGAGUUGUCUGGGUAACAACCCUGCAACGGAAGCAAAACAGUUUGCCAGUAGGUGCUUGAGGUGCGAGGUCUUAAGUGAAAUUCACAUUGAAACAAAAGAAAACCAACAAUAGGCUAAACAUUUUUGCCAAGUUAACAUAUCAAAUACUAUAUUUUAAUUAGAUAGAACAGUAAUACUCCAAUAAAUUUACCAUAAUACUUUAAGCACUUAAAAGGUCUAAACACAAAGAUGUAAAAGGAAAACUACUCAAAAUAGUUCUUAUAACCUCGAGUAGACUGAUUUCUAUUAACACCCAAUUAAAAGCUAAAUAAACUUUUAAUUUCUCAAUCCCCUUCAGUAAUAUUCCACCAGAUUUACCAUAAUAUUUUAAGCACUUAAAAGGUCUAAACACAAAGAUGUAAAGGAAAAUUACUCAAAAUAGUUCUCAUAACCUCGGGUAAAAGCUAAAUAAACUAUCAAUUUUCCAAUCCGCUUUAAUUAUGGCUCAAAUCAUAUUUGGAUCCAACCAAGACAAAAGUAAGAAGAGAUGGAACAUACUUGAAAUAUGCCCUUGAUUAAUAAAAUUGUGGCAGUUACAAGGAAGUUAAUAAAUUGCAACUGGAAUCGAACUUGAAGAAACAACGAAAAUUGAUUGAAACCACUAAUCGAACCCCGAACAAAAACUCGAAUCGGCACCAGAUUUUCGAAUCAGAGCUCUAACUACAAUUAAAUUUUGUCUUUGGAAAUGAAAAUUGAAAUCGGAAAAAACAAGAAACACAUAUUAUUUUUGCAUUUUUCUGAGAUUCAAACUAAACAAAGAUCUAAAAAAUAAAAUCUGAAAAUCAAAGGGCUAAACUAAAUUUGUUUUUAUUUUGUAUUUUUCUGGUUCCCAAGAAGAACAAAUAAAAAAAAAUUGGUGAUUCUUUUCCAAACCCUAAUUAUUUGUCCCUCUCCUGAUCUCUGUCCAAAUGCUCCAAAUAUAUAGGAAGCCUACAAGUUUAUCCUUCCUUCCUUUCCAAGAAAACCGAAAAGUCUCCUCUUCUUUUUUUAAAUCUGGAAAAUCCGAAAAAAACUCCAAAAAAAUCCGAAAUUCUUUGACAUAGAAAAAUAGUAGACAAGUCGAGGUCUAGGAUCAAAGAAUCUUAAUCCUGUGGCCUCUAAUUUCCAAAAUUCGUCUAAAAGAAUUUGGAUUUGUGAUUAAUAGGGGAAAAAUAAUAAUGAAGAGUAGUUGUGUUGGAUGAGAUAAGGUCAUUGAACCUAGGAUGAAUACUAUCGGAUUCGAUUUAAGCAUGUUGGAAGGAUAAUAAAG